RNAcentral lists this ribosomal RNA (497 nucleotides) under uncultured bacterium. RNAcentral's name for it is "partial 16S ribosomal RNA". It matches the Rfam family "Bacterial small subunit ribosomal RNA", at positions 28 to 507 of the family's 1533-position model. The record is from RNAcentral.
GAUGAACGCUGGCGGCGUGCCUAAUACAUGCAAGUCGAACGCAUAGCGAAAGGUGCUUGCACCUUUCAAGUGAGUGGCGAACGGGUGAGUAACACGUGGACAACCUGCCUCAAGGCUGGGGAUAACAUUUGGAAACAGAUGCUAAUACCGAAUAAAACUUAGUGUCGCAUGACACAAAGUUAAAAGGCGCUUCGGCGUCACCUAGAGAUGGAUCCGCGGUGCAUUAGUUAGUUGGUGGGGUAAAGGCCUACCAAGACAAUGAUGCAUAGCCGAGUUGAGAGACGGAUCGGCCACAUUGGGACUGAGACACGGCCCAAACUACUGCGGGAGGCUGCAGUAGGGAAUCUUCCACAAUGGGCGAAAGCCUGAUGGAGCAACGCCGCGUGUGUGAUGAAGGCGUUCGGGUCGUAAAGCACUGUUGUAUGGGAAGAACAGCUAGAAUAGGAAAUGAUUUUAGUUUGACGGUACCAUACCAGAAAGGGACGGCUAAAUACGUG